This 250-nucleotide ribosomal RNA is filed under the name uncultured prokaryote. Its description in RNAcentral is "partial 16S ribosomal RNA". It matches the Rfam family "Bacterial small subunit ribosomal RNA", at positions 524 to 773 of the family's 1533-position model. The record is from RNAcentral.
UACGUAGGUGGCAAGCGUUAUCCGGAUUUACUGGGUGUAAAGGGCGUGUAGGCGGCUUUGCAAGUCAGAUGUGAAAUUCCCGAGCUCAACUUGGGCGCUGCAUCUGAAACUGCAGAACUUGAGUGCUGGAGAGGAAAGCGGAAUUCCUAGUGUAGCGGUAAAAUGCGCAGAUAUUAGGAGGAACACCGGUGGCGAAGGCGGCUUUCUGGACAGUAACUGACGCUGAGGCGCGAAAGCGUGGGGAGCAAAC